RNAcentral lists this ribosomal RNA (253 nucleotides) under uncultured bacterium. RNAcentral describes it as "partial 16S ribosomal RNA". It matches the Rfam family "Bacterial small subunit ribosomal RNA", at positions 524 to 776 of the family's 1533-position model. The record is from RNAcentral.
UACGGAGGAUCCGAGCGUUAUCCGGAUCUAUUGGGUUUAAAGGGUGCGUAGGCGGUUUGAUAAGUUAGAGGUGAAAUGUCGGGGCUCAACCCCGAAACUGCCUCUAAUACUGUUGGACUAGAGAAUAGUUGCGGUAGGCGGAAUGUAUGGCGUAGCGGUGAAAUGCUUAGAGAUCAUACAGAACACCGAUUGCGAAGGCAGCUUACCAAACUAUAUCUGACGUUGAGGCACGAAAGCGUGGGUAGCAAACAGG